RNAcentral lists this ribosomal RNA (253 nucleotides) under uncultured bacterium. Its description in RNAcentral is "partial 16S ribosomal RNA". It matches the Rfam family "Bacterial small subunit ribosomal RNA", at positions 524 to 776 of the family's 1533-position model. The record is from RNAcentral.
UACGUAGGGUGCAGGCGUUAAUCGGAAUUACUGGGCGUAAAGCGUGCGCAGGCGGUUUCUUAAGUCAGAUGUGAAAGCCCCGGGCUUAACCUGGGAACUGCGUUUGAAACUGGGAGACUCGAGUGUGGCAGAGGGGGGUGGAAUUCCACGUGUAGCAGUGAAAUGCGUAGAUAUGUGGAGGAACACCGAUUGCGAAGGCAGCUGACGAAACUGUAACUGACACUGAGGCUCGAAAGUGCGGGGAUCAAACAGG